This 489-nucleotide ribosomal RNA is filed under the name uncultured bacterium. RNAcentral describes it as "partial 16S ribosomal RNA". It matches the Rfam family "Bacterial small subunit ribosomal RNA", at positions 30 to 507 of the family's 1533-position model. The record is from RNAcentral.
AUUGAACGCUGGCGGCAUGCUUUACACAUGCAAGUCGAACGGCAGCACGAAAGAGCUUGCUCUUUUGGUGGCGAGUGGCGAACGGGUGAGUAAUGCAUCGGAACGUACCGAGUAAUGGGGGAUAACUGUCCGAAAGGAUAGCUAAUACCGCAUACGCUUUGAGAAGGAAAGUGGGGGCUCUUCGGACCUCACGUUAUUCGAGCGGCCGAUGUCUGAUUAGCUAGUUGGUGGGGUAAGGCCUACCAAGGCGACGAUCAGUAGCGGGUCUGAGAGGAUGAUCCGCCACACUGGGACUGAGACACGGCCCAGACUCCUACGGGAGGCAGCAGUGGGGAAUUUUGGACAAUGGGCGCAAGCCUGAUCCAGCCAUGCCGCGUGUCUGAAGAAGGCCUUCGGGUUGUAAAGGACUUUUGUUAGGGAAGAAAAGGAUAGUGUUAAUACCAUUAUCUGCUGACGGUACCUAAAGAAUAAGCACCGGCUAACUACGUG